Molecule: ribosomal RNA, 468 nt
Filed under: uncultured bacterium
Lineage: Bacteria
Description: partial 16S ribosomal RNA
Rfam family: Bacterial small subunit ribosomal RNA
Source: RNAcentral
GACGAACGCUGGCGGCGUGCUUAACACAUGCAAGUCGAACGGAAAGGCCCUGCUUUUGUGGGGUGCUCGAGUGGCGAACGGGUGAGUAACAAGUGAGUAACCUGCCCUUGACUUUGGGAUAACUUCAGGAAACUGGGGCUAAUACCGGAUAGGAGCUCCUGCUGCAUGGUGGGGGUUGGAAAGUUUCGGCGGUUGGGGAUGGACUCGCGGCUUAUCAGCUUGUUGGUGGGGUAGUGGCUUACCAAGGCUUUGACGGGUAGCCGGCCUGAGAGGGUGACCGGCCACAUUGGGACUGAGAGAGGGCCCAGACUCCUACGGGAGGCAGCAGUGGGGAAUAUUGCACAAUGGGCGGAAGCCUGAUGCAGCAACGCCGCGUGCGGGAUGAAGGCCUUCGGGUUGUAAACCGCUUUCGCCUGUGACGAAGCGUGAGUGACGGUAAUGGGUAAAGAAGCACCGGCUAACUACGUG